Molecule: long non-coding RNA, 322 nt
Filed under: Monodelphis domestica (gray short-tailed opossum)
Lineage: Eukaryota; Metazoa; Chordata; Mammalia; Didelphimorphia; Didelphidae
Description: lncRNA (ENSMODG00000047015.1)
Source: RNAcentral
GACAAUGCAGAUGUGUCUGGCACCAUCCACAACAUGAAACAGACACCAGACAACAGAAAAAACAGCAAAUAAGCUGGGAAAAACCAUCACUGCCCUAUAGACAGGUCUAAUGAAAUAUCCACACAAAUGCACUUUUAUAGAAUGAAAACACCUGGUCACCCACCAAGCACAUCAUGCCAUGUGGCACGGGACCAGGAAGAGAAGCAGACGAGUAACAUCAACGAUGCCAGCUGAUUGCAGAACAGGCAUGCUAGAAGAAACCAUCUCUGAUAGGUGUGGGACAGGAACAACAUGGGGGCAGCUAUACAACACAGGGCCAUGA